RNAcentral lists this ribosomal RNA (471 nucleotides) under Salmonella enterica subsp. enterica serovar Cerro. RNAcentral describes it as "bacterial SSU rRNA". It matches the Rfam family "Bacterial small subunit ribosomal RNA", at positions 1 to 468 of the family's 1533-position model. Lineage: Bacteria; Pseudomonadati; Pseudomonadota; Gammaproteobacteria; Enterobacterales; Enterobacteriaceae. The record is from RNAcentral.
AAAUUGAAGAGUUUGAUCAUGGCUCAGAUUGAACGCUGGCGGCAGGCCUAACACAUGCAAGUCGAACGGUAACAGAAAGCAGCUUGCUGCUUUGCUGACGAGUGGCGGACGGGUGAGUAAUGUCUGGGAAACUGCCUGAUGGAGGGGGAUAACUACUGGAAACGGUGGCUAAUACCGCAUAACGUCGCAAGACCAAAGAGGGGGACCUUCGGGCCUCUUGCCAUCAGAUGUGCCCAGAUGGGAUUAGCUAGUUGGUGAGGUAACGGCUCACCAAGGCGACGAUCCCUAGCUGGUCUGAGAGGAUGACCAGCCACACUGGAACUGAGACACGGUCCAGACUCCUACGGGAGGCAGCAGUGGGGAAUAUUGCACAAUGGGCGCAAGCCUGAUGCAGCCAUGCCGCGUGUAUGAAGAAGGCCUUCGGGUUGUAAAGUACUUUCAGCGGGGAGGAAGGUGUUGUGGUUAAUAACC